UACGUAGGUGGCAAGCGUUGUCCGGAUUUAUUGGGUUUAAAGGGUGCGUAGGUGGCCCUGUAAGUCAGUGGUGAAAUAUCUCAGCUUAACUGAGAGGGUGCCAUUGAUACUGCAGGGCUUGAGUACAGAUGAGGUAGGCGGAAUUGACGGUGUAGCGGUGAAAUGCUUAGAUAUCGUCAAGAACACCGAUAGCGAAGGCAGCUUACUGGGCUGUAACUGACGCUGAGGCACGAAAGUGUGGGGAUCAAACAGG
This 253-nucleotide ribosomal RNA is filed under the name uncultured bacterium. RNAcentral's name for it is "partial 16S ribosomal RNA". It matches the Rfam family "Bacterial small subunit ribosomal RNA", at positions 524 to 776 of the family's 1533-position model. The record is from RNAcentral.